Molecule: ribosomal RNA, 830 nt
Filed under: Antecaridina sp. East Timor
Lineage: Eukaryota; Metazoa; Arthropoda; Malacostraca; Decapoda; Atyidae
Description: partial 16S large subunit ribosomal RNA
Rfam family: Archaeal large subunit ribosomal RNA (bases 370-614)
Source: RNAcentral
AUGUGGAAAAAUAAAAUUGAAUAGUAGUUUAGGGGUGAGAUGCCAGUCGUACUUUAUAUAUCUAGUUACUUUAGAAAUAAAUUGAAUUUAGUUUUUACGAAAAAGAUCGUAUAAUUAAAUUUUCAGGGGGAAUAGCUCCUGAAAAUUUUUGUAUAAAGGUAUUAUAAGAAUUGUAUAAAGUUAGGCUUAGAAUCAGUCAUGCUUUUAUAACGUUUUAGUAGAUAUGAAGUAGAUAUUUUUUUUAAUAAAAAUUUUACUUGGAUUAUGAAGUUAAUUGUGAUAACAUUAUUUGUUUUGAAAUAGUGAUUGUAUUAGUAGAAAUUUAAUGUGAUAGGAUAAUGCGAGUUAGUGAGAUAAAGAUUUAAAUUUGUUUUUAUUUUAUUUAAGGAACUCGACAAACUAUAUGUUCACCUGUUUAUCAAAAACAUGUCUGUUAUGAAAAUAUUAACAGUCUAGCCUGCCCACUGAAGUUUUGAAGGGCCGCGGUAUUUGGACCGUGCUAAGGUAGCAUAAUCAAUAGUCUUUUAAUUGGAGUCUGGAAUGAAUGGUUGGAUGAAAUAUAAGUUGUCUUGGAUUAUAAAGGUUGAAUUUUACUUUUGAGUGAAAAGGCUUAAAUGAAUUGGGGGGACGAUAAGACCCUGUGAAGCUUUAUGUUAUAAAGGUGUUCAUGAAUAAUAUUUUAGUGGUUAGGUUUAUACUUUAAUAAUAUUGUGUUGGGGCGAUAGGAAUAAAAUGUGUAACUGUUUUUAUUAUACAAAUAAUGAUAUUUAGAAUGUUGAUCUUUAAUUUGAGAUUAAGAGAUUAAAGUUACUCCAGGGAUAACAGCGUAA